AGUUCUCAACUGCAUCCAUUUGAAUGAAGGGAUGUGGAUUUGGAUCAUGGGGUUUGCAGGCUUUUUUGUUUUAGGUCUGCUUCUCUGAAAUGUAUUAGUGGCAAAUGUGGAAAAAAGCUACUGUGGGUUUGAUAAAAUGUCUAUGCCCAUGAAGUGCUUCUGCUGUGCUGCUUGCUUGCCAGGGGAUUUUUGACAA
Molecule: unclassified non-coding RNA, 196 nt
Filed under: uncultured Inocybaceae
Lineage: Eukaryota; Fungi; Basidiomycota; Agaricomycetes; Agaricales
Description: sequence contains ITS2
Source: RNAcentral